Molecule: ribosomal RNA, 254 nt
Filed under: uncultured bacterium
Lineage: Bacteria
Description: partial 16S ribosomal RNA
Rfam family: Bacterial small subunit ribosomal RNA
Source: RNAcentral
UACGUAGGGGGCGAGCGUUGUCCGGAUUUAUUGGGCGUAAAGAGCUCGUAGGCGGCUCGGUAAGUCGGAUGUGAAACCUCCAGGCUCAACCUGGAGACGCCAUCUGAUACUGCCGUGGCUUGAGUCCGGUAGAGGAGCAGGGAAUUCCUGGUGUAGCGGUGAAAUGCGCAGAUAUCAGGAGGAACACCAGCGGCGAAGGCGCUGCUCUGGGCCGGUACUGACGCUGAGGAGCGAAAGCGCGGGGAGCGAACAGG